This 2875-nucleotide ribosomal RNA is filed under the name Acinetobacter baumannii. RNAcentral describes it as "23S ribosomal RNA". It matches the Rfam family "Bacterial large subunit ribosomal RNA". The record is from RNAcentral. Lineage: Bacteria; Pseudomonadati; Pseudomonadota; Gammaproteobacteria; Moraxellales; Moraxellaceae.
GUUGUAUAGUCAAGUAAUUAAGUGCAUGUGGUGGAUGCCUUGGCAGUCAGAGGCGAUGAAAGACGUGAUAGCCUGCGAAAAGCUCCGGGGAGGCGGCAAAUAUCCUUUGAUCCGGAGAUGUCUGAAUGGGGGAACCCACCUACUUUAAGGUAGGUAUUGCAACAUGAAUACAUAGUGUUGCAAGGCGAACGAGGGGAAGUGAAACAUCUCAGUACCCUUAGGAAAAGAAAUCAAUUGAGAUUCCCUCAGUAGCGGCGAGCGAACGGGGAUCAGCCCAUUAAGUUAUGUGUGUUUUAGUGGAACGCUCUGGGAAGUGCGAACGUAGAGGGUGAUAUUCCCGUACACGAAAGGGCACACAUAAUGAUGACGAGUAGGGCGAGGCACGUGAAACCUUGUCUGAAUAUGGGGGGACCAUCCUCCAAGGCUAAAUACUCCUGACUGACCGAUAGUGAACCAGUACCGUGAGGGAAAGGCGAAAAGAACCCCUGUGAGGGGAGUGAAAUAGAUCCUGAAACCGCAUGCAUACAAGCAGUGGGAGCACCUUCGUGGUGUGACUGCGUACCUUUUGUAUAAUGGGUCAGCGACUUAUAUUCAGUAGCAAGGUUAACCGUAUAGGGGAGCCGUAGAGAAAUCGAGUCUUAAUAGGGCGUUUAGUUGCUGGGUAUAGACCCGAAACCAGGCGAUCUAUCCAUGAGCAGGUUGAAGGUUGGGUAACACUAACUGGAGGACCGAACCCACUGUCGUUGAAAAGCCAGGGGAUGACUUGUGGAUAGGGGUGAAAGGCUAAUCAAGCCUGGUGAUAGCUGGUUCUCCCCGAAAGCUAUUUAGGUAGCGCCUCGGACGAAUACCAUAGGGGGUAGAGCACUGUUUCGGCUAGGGGGUCAUCCCGACUUACCAAACCGAUGCAAACUCCGAAUACCUAUGAGUACUAUCCGGGAGACAGACUGCGGGUGCUAACGUCCGUAGUCAAGAGGAAAACAAUCCAGACCGCCAGCUAAGGCCCCAAAAUCAUAGUUAAGUGGGAAACGAUGUGGGAAGGCAUAGACAGCUAGGAGGUUGGCUUAGAAGCAGCCACCCUUUAAAGAAAGCGUAAUAGCUCACUAGUCGAGUCGGCCUGCGCGGAAGAUGUAACGGGGCUAAAACUAUGUGCCGAAGCUGCGGANNNNNNNNNNNNNNNNNNNAUGCUGGAGGUAUCAGAAGUGCGAAUGCUGACGUGAGUAACGACAAAACGGGUGAAAAACCCGUUCGCCGAAAGACCAAGGGUUCCAGUCCAACGUUAAUCGGGGCUGGGUGAGUCGACCCCUAAGGCGAGGCCGAAAGGCGUAGUCGAUGGGAAAAUGGUUAAUAUUCCAUUACUUCUGUGUAAUGCGAUGAGAGGACGGAGAAGGCUAAAUCAGCCUGGCGUUGGUUGUCCAGGUGAAAGGAUGUAGGCAUGUAUCUUAGGCAAAUCCGGGGUACUCUAUGCUGAGAUCUGAUAGCAAGCUGUACUUGUACAGCGAAGUGGUUGAUGCCAUGCUUCCAGGAAAAGUCUCUAAGCUUCAGUUACACAGGAAUCGUACCCGAAACCGACACAGGUGGUCAGGUCGAGUAGACCAAGGCGCUUGAGAGAACUCUGCUGAAGGAACUAGGCAAAAUGGUACCGUAACUUCGGGAGAAGGUACGCUGUUGUUGGUGAUGGAACUCGCUUCCUGAGCUGACGACAGCCGCAGAAACCAGGCCGCUGCAACUGUUUAUUAAAAACAUAGCACUCUGCAAACACGAAAGUGGACGUAUAGGGUGUGAUGCCUGCCCGGUGCUGGAAGGUUAAUUGAUGGGGUUAGCGUAAGCGAAGCUCUUGAUCGAAGCCCCAGUAAACGGCGGCCGUAACUAUAACGGUCCUAAGGUAGCGAAAUUCCUUGUCGGGUAAGUUCCGACCUGCACGAAUGGCAUAAUGAUGGCGGCGCUGUCUCCAGCAGAGGCUCAGUGAAAUCGAAAUCGCUGUGAAGAUGCAGUGUACCCGCGGCUAGACGGAAAGACCCCGUGAACCUUUACUGCAGCUUGACACUGAACUUUGACCUUACUUGUGUAGGAUAGGUGGGAGGCUUUGAAGCUGGAACGCUAGUUCCAGUGGAGCCGUCCUUGAAAUACCACCCUGGUAAUGUUGAGGUUCUAACUCUGUCCCGUGAUCCGGGACGAGGACCGUGUCUGGUGGGUAGUUUGACUGGGGCGGUCUCCUCCUAAAGAGUAACGGAGGAGUACGAAGGUGCGCUCAGCGUGGUCGGAAAUCACGCGUAGAGUAUAAAGGCAAAAGCGCGCUUAACUGCGAGACCCACAAGUCGAGCAGGUACGAAAGUAGGUCUUAGUGAUCCGGUGGUUCUGUAUGGAAGGGCCAUCGCUCAACGGAUAAAAGGUACUCUGGGGAUAACAGGCUGAUACCGCCCAAGAGUUCAUAUCGACGGCGGUGUUUGGCACCUCGAUGUCGGCUCAUCUCAUCCUGGGGCUGAAGCAGGUCCCAAGGGUAUGGCUGUUCGCCAUUUAAAGAGGUACGCGAGCUGGGUUUAGAACGUCGUGAGACAGUUCGGUCCCUAUCUACCGUGGGCGCUGGAAAUUUGAGAGGAUCUGCUCCUAGUACGAGAGGACCAGAGUGGACGAACCUCUGGUGUACCGGUUGUGACGCCAGUCGCAUCGCCGGGUAGCUAUGUUCGGAAGGGAUAACCGCUGAAAGCAUCUAAGCGGGAAGCCUACCUCAAGAUAAGAUUUCCCUAGGACUUUAUGUCCUCUAAAGAGCCGUUCGAGACUAGGACGUUGAUAGGUUGGAUGUGGAAGCAUAGUGAUAUGUGAAGCUGACCAAUACUAAUUGCUCGUGAGGCUUGACUAUACAACACCCAAGCAGUUG